RNAcentral lists this ribosomal RNA (253 nucleotides) under uncultured bacterium. RNAcentral describes it as "partial 16S ribosomal RNA". It matches the Rfam family "Bacterial small subunit ribosomal RNA", at positions 524 to 776 of the family's 1533-position model. The record is from RNAcentral.
UACGGAGGGUGCAAGCGUUAAUCGGAAUUACUGGGCGUAAAGCGUGCGCAGGCGGUUUGUUAAGUCUGUUGUGAAAUCCCCGAGCUCAACUUGGGAAUUGCACUGGAUACUGGCAGGCUCGAGUAUGGUAGAGGAAGGUGGAAUUCCCGGUGUAGCAGUGAAAUGCGUAGAGAUCGGGAGGAACACCAGUGGCGAAGGCGGCCUUCUGGACCAAUACUGACGCUCAUGCACGAAAGCGUGGGGAGCAAACAGG